RNAcentral lists this ribosomal RNA (1180 nucleotides) under Gramella sp. Hel_I_59. RNAcentral's name for it is "bacterial SSU rRNA". It matches the Rfam family "Bacterial small subunit ribosomal RNA", at positions 152 to 1333 of the family's 1533-position model. The record is from RNAcentral. Lineage: Bacteria; Pseudomonadati; Bacteroidota; Flavobacteriia; Flavobacteriales; Flavobacteriaceae.
GGAAACGUGGAUUAAUACCCCAUAGUCUAUAAACUUCACCUGGAGAUUAUAGUAAACAUUUAUGGCUUAAAGAUGAGUAUGCGUCCUAUUAGUUAGUUGGUAAGGUAACGGCUUACCAAGACGGCGAUAGGUAGGGGUCCUGAGAGGGAGAUCCCCCACACUGGUACUGAGACACGGACCAGACUCCUACGGGAGGCAGCAGUGAGGAAUAUUGGACAAUGGAGGCAACUCUGAUCCAGCCAUGCCGCGUGCAGGAAGACGGCCCUAUGGGUUGUAAACUGCUUUUAUACGGGAAGAACCACAUCUACGUGUAGAUGCUUGACGGUACCGUAUGAAUAAGGACCGGCUAACUCCGUGCCAGCAGCCGCGGUAAUACGGAGGGUCCAAGCGUUAUCCGGAAUCAUUGGGUUUAAAGGGUCCGUAGGCGGGAUAAUAAGUCAGUGGUGAAAGUCUGCAGCUCAACUGUAGAAUUGCCAUUGAUACUGUUGUUCUUGAAUUAUUAUGAAGUGGUUGGAAUGAGUAGUGUAGCGGUGAAAUGCAUAGAUAUUACUCAGAACACCUAUUGCGAAGGCAGAUCACUAAUAAUAUAUUGACGCUGAGGGACGAAAGCGUAGGUAGCGAACAGGAUUAGAUACCCUGGUAGUCUACGCCGUAAACGAUGGUUACUAGCUGUUCGGCUCGAUUGAGAGCUGAGUGGUUAAGCGAAAGUGAUAAGUAACCCACCUGGGGAGUACGUUCGCAAGAAUGAAACUCAAAGGAAUUGACGGGGGCCCGCACAAGCGGUGGAGCAUGUGGUUUAAUUCGAUGAUACGCGAGGAACCUUACCAGGGCUUAAAUGCAGUUGGACAGGUCUGGAAACAGACCCUUCUUCGGACUAAUUGCAAGGUGCUGCAUGGUUGUCGUCAGCUCGUGCCGUGAGGUGUCAGGUUAAGUCCUAUAACGAGCGCAACCCCUGUGGUUAGUUGCCAGCGAGUCAUGUCGGGAACUCUAGCCAGACUGCCAGUGCAAACUGUGAGGAAGGUGGGGAUGACGUCAAAUCAUCACGGCCCUUACGUCCUGGGCCACACACGUGCUACAAUGGUAGGGACAGAGGGCAGCUACCCCGCGAGGGGAUGCGAAUCUUCAAACCCUAUCACAGUUCGGAUCGCAGUCUGCAACUCGACUGCGUGAAGCUGGAAUC